RNAcentral lists this ribosomal RNA (803 nucleotides) under uncultured bacterium. RNAcentral's name for it is "bacterial SSU rRNA". It matches the Rfam family "Bacterial small subunit ribosomal RNA", at positions 58 to 843 of the family's 1533-position model. The record is from RNAcentral.
CAAGUCGAGGGGCAUCGGGGAGCGAAGCUUGCUUUGCUCCGCCGGCGACCGGCGCACGGGUGAGUAACGCGUAUGCAACCUGCCCGUUUCAGCGGGAUAACCCGGAGAAAUCCGGCCUAAUACCGCAUGUGGCCGAGGGAAGGCAUCUUCUUUCGGCCAAAGGAGGCGACUCCGGAGACGGAUGGGCAUGCGUGACAUUAGCUUGUUGGCGGGGUAACGGCCCACCAAGGCGACGAUGUCUAGGGGUUCUGAGAGGAAGGUCCCCCACACUGGUACUGAGACACGGACCAGACUCCUACGGGAGGCAGCAGUGAGGAAUAUUGGUCAAUGGGCGAGAGCCUGAACCAGCCAAGUCGCGUGAAGGAUGACGGCCCUACGGGUUGUAAACUUCUUUUGUCAGGGAGCAAUUGGGUCCACGCGUGGGCUUAGCGAGAGUACCUGAAGAAAAAGCAUCGGCUAACUCCGUGCCAGCAGCCGCGGUAAUACGGAGGAUGCGAGCGUUAUCCGGAUUUAUUGGGUUUAAAGGGUGCGCAGGCGGAAUGUCAAGUCAGCGGUAAAAUUUCGGGGCUCAACCCCGUCGUGCCGUUGAAACUGGCGUUCUUGAGUGAGCGAGAAGUAUGCGGAAUGCGUGGUGUAGCGGUGAAAUGCAUAGAUAUCACGCAGAACUCCGAUUGCGAAGGCAGCAUACCGGCGCUCAACUGACGCUCAUGCACGAAAGCGUGGGUAUCGAACAGGAUUAGAUACCCUGGUAGUCCACGCAGUAAACGAUGAAUACUAACUGUCCGGGCAGAAUGAUGCCUGGG